This is a long non-coding RNA of Salmo salar (Atlantic salmon), 2816 nucleotides long. RefSeq lists it as uncharacterized. The record is from RefSeq and is a predicted model, not a curated record. NCBI's taxonomy places the organism in Eukaryota, Metazoa, Chordata, Actinopteri, Salmoniformes, Salmonidae.
UCUGUCAAAAGAGAAAAACAUGGUGUCGAUAUUUACUGUAAACAAACUUGAAUGGUCCUAACCCUGCCACUCUCGAGCACUUUCACUGCCUGCUGCAUACCUUCACGCAACAAUUGAAUUAGGCCUACUUAAUAAUUUAAAACAUUGGAAUAUUAUUAAAAACACAUUUCAAUAUUACUAUAAGAUUAUUUUGAUCAGGGUGUUUAAGGCAAUGUAUUACAUCUAGAUUUAUUUGUGAAUUUCAAAUGAAUUAUGCAAUAUAGUAUGAACAAACGGCUGUCCUUAUGCAUCGCUGAAAUGAUGCCAAAUUUAUUGUAUCAAAGUUGCCCAUGCGAAAGCCAGAAGUGUCCUAAUAUUGUCCUACAUAGGUCUAUAUCCUCUGUAGCCUGCCUCUGCGAGAACCUCGCACGACAGAGACUGGGUUUCGAAUUUCACAGUCAAUACAGUGGGCUUGCCUUCACACUCAUUUCAAGCACAAAGGAAAGCUGUGCAAAAAUGAUAUUGUAAAUGUAACUUUUCGAUUUAAUGUAGGUAAUAUGUUUAUUUUUAUUCUAUACAUAGGCCUAAAACACAGGUUAAGCGUUGCGAUCCAUGAAAGGGGGCUGAUAGCGGCAUAUUCCGUGAAAGUAGGGAAGUAAAGUUAGGCUACAGAUAAAGCGGGCAAACAAUAGCCUAGUAAGAGUCAAUAACAAAGACCGAAAGGACUCUACAAAUCCGGCAAAAAAUAAGGUGAAAAUGGAAGACUUCGCUUGAGAAAUUGUCCGAUUAUAAAAGAGGAACGUAAAAAAGAACCAUGAUCCGAAGAAAAAAUAAUGAUAAACUUACCAGACAUGUUGUACAAAUUAAGAAGGAGUGCUGGAAGAAGAGCAGUUAUGAGAUUCCACAAUGUCCUUUUCUGGCUCAGUUAUAUGGGCUAUAACGAAAUAUUCAUAAAAGUCACACAAAUUCUCAACACACAAGUCUUAAAACUGUCUCAGAGCAUACAAUAAUAUCCUAAUAUAGCUAGGGAUAUAUUAGUUUGUGAAAUUUUCUCUCCAUGCCUACUUUUUAAAACCCCUAGAACUCAAUGAUUUGACAAUGAUUUGAUUGCGCGUUACUUUCAAUUUGAAUAUUCAAAGGCUACUCAAAAAUACAGAUUUUUCAGUAUAAAUCAAUACAUAUGCACUUAAAAUAACAUUUAAUUUAAUAGAUUUUAAUAAUAUUUUAUACCCAAACCAAAAAGAAAUGGACAUUUUAAACAUUUUAUCCAUGUUUUGCCAAUCUGCCAUCAGGCCCUCUUCAUAAUGAGGCACUACAGGAAAGUAACGGUUAGAUGUUCUAUCUAAACAUGACCAACAAUUAAACAUCGCAGAUCAUAUGUAUAUCAGGAUGGAUGAGCACAUUAACACGUUAUUACCAUAUAUUUUUAGUCUUAUUUUAAACAAUAAACUAUUAAAUGUCUAGGUUGUGGGCGUGGCAUAUGGUAGCAGCCAUUUCUGCCAUCACUGACUCCGUUGCUCCCUCAGCAAUUCCAUGCUCCCCAUCACUGGAACUCACAUCACCCACGUCUUAUUAUAGUUGUUUUAGCAUUAUUUAGUUUAGUUACAUUAAUUAUAUAAUAUAAAGACUGAACGUUUUAGCCAUUCACAUGUCAAACCUGAUUUGACAUCCCAGGGCUAGGCUAUUAUAUACGAAUCGAGAAAACUAUUUACAAAUGAAUUGCAAUGCAAAAAAAUCGGUUUACAAACGUCUGAUAUAUUUUCAAUUCAAUGACAAGACUCUCGGAUUAGUCUACUUGUGUAGCCUUGGCCUACUUAGAUGUGGGCAAAGUCAUUUCAAUUGAUUAUUGGAAUAGGGUUACUGUCCAUACCUGUUUAAAUGUAUAAGAGUUCACAACUUAAUACAUAUGAUGUGAGAAAACAGCACAUUGCUUUAGAGAAAACCAUUUCCUAUAAAUGUUCUUCCAUUGCCAUUGUGAGCCUACAUUACAUUUGAAUAACAAUUUACAAACAUAUCAAACAAUGAACUCGAACUUAUUUUUAUAUAAUUGGUUUAUUUUACCUUUAUUUAACCAGGUAGACAAGUUGAGAACAAGUUCUCAUUUACAACUGCGACCUGGCCAAGAUAAAGCAAAGCAGUUCGACACAUACAGAGUUACACAUGGAAUAAAACAAACAUACAGUCAAUAAUACAGUAGAAAAAUAAGUCUAUAUACAAUGUGAGCAAAUGAGGUGAGAUAAGGGAGGGAAGGGCAAUAGUUUUAAUUAAAAUAGCUUAGAUUUCAGUUUUGGGGUAUCGAUCUAUCAUUAUCCUCACUCAUAUAUUGAGAAAAUGCACGUACACUAUCUGCCCAACACAAUCUAUGGCCUUUCCUGAUUUGUACUGGUAGGGGCCUAUACAAUGAUCCCUAUUAUGUAGGCCUAAAUCCCAUCAUCUCCACUGGGUAGUUGUAUUGACAAACUUCCAUAAAGUAGGACCUGGGUCCAUUAUCCUAACUACCAAGAAUAUUAUGCUAGUGCUCUCAUAGAAUAUCUAACGUUUGGCUUUUUUUAUUGAUUUAUUGCUGCCGUUGCAAUUCCCCCCAUGAAUUACGCUGAUAUCAUAAGAGAAGAGGUAACAUGAAACAACCGCGCCAUCUAGUGUAGGAUAUACGUUAGUAGGUUCUCCCUCAGUCUUAAUUCGAUGUAGUGGUGACAGAACAAAAUAUAACUCAACAAACGGAAAAGUCAUGUUUUUUUCAUGUGUCAUUUUAGCAAAAAAUAUGUUUCAUUUUCAUGCAUUUAUUGCAGUGUCUUUUAUUAUAAUGGAUUUAUAAUAAAGAAUUCUACUGCCCUAUA